Long non-coding RNA from Aphis gossypii (cotton aphid), 460 nucleotides. RefSeq lists it as uncharacterized. The transcript has 3 exons. NCBI's taxonomy places the organism in Eukaryota, Metazoa, Arthropoda, Insecta, Hemiptera, Aphididae. The record is from RefSeq and is a predicted model, not a curated record.
CAACCGAACCCAUCAGGGACAAGGCGAUAAUAAACAUUUUAAAGGACACAAACUCCAUCCUAAACAAAUUUUAAAAACGCAAAAAUAUAUAUAAAAACACAAUAAUCGCUUUAAAAGUUGAAGUUUUAAAAACCAUAAUCAAUAGUAAACAUUUAAACACUAAAAUCAUGAACUAAGAAAUAGAUAUAUUUUAGUCCGUGACUGAAAUCAAUGCUGUUUGAGAAAAUAUAAUAAUGAAAACUUGUGAUAUAGACUAGUAUUGAGUUAAACAAAAAUUACAAUACUAUACGGAAAAUGAAAUAUAUCAUUCUGGAAACGCAGAUAUUAAAUAAGUAUACAAGUCGAUAGUUGUGAUAGUAUAUCAUUUCAAUGAUAGAGAAUGAUAGCUGAUGUGCAAAAUCUGCAUAAGUGGAAUUCGUAUGGAAAUCGGUGACAUAUGCAGAUAUUUGAAAUAAUCAUU